This 119-nucleotide ribosomal RNA is filed under the name Mola mola (ocean sunfish). Lineage: Eukaryota; Metazoa; Chordata; Actinopteri; Tetraodontiformes; Molidae. The record is from RNAcentral.
AUGUAUGGUGACACAUCCCUGAGCACGCCCGUUCUCGUCUGAUCUCGGAAGCUAAGCAGAGUCGGGCCUGGUUAGUAGUUGUAUGGGAGAUUGACUGGGAAUACCAGUUGUUGUAUUGG